This 460-nucleotide ribosomal RNA is filed under the name uncultured bacterium. RNAcentral describes it as "partial 16S ribosomal RNA". It matches the Rfam family "Bacterial small subunit ribosomal RNA", at positions 338 to 795 of the family's 1533-position model. The record is from RNAcentral.
CCUACGGGCGGCAGCAGUGAGGAAUAUUGGUCAAUGGACGCAAGUCUGAACCAGCCAUGCCGCGUGCAGGAAGACGGCUCUAUGAGUUGUAAACUGCUUUUGUACGAGGGUAAACGCAGAUACGUGUAUCUGUCUGAAAGUAUCGUACGAAUAAGGAUCGGCUAACUCCGUGCCAGCAGCCGCGGUAAUACGGAGGAUUCAAGCGUUAUCCGGAUUUAUUGGGUUUAAAGGGUGCGUAGGCGGUAGGAUAAGUUAGAGGUGAAAUCCCGGGGCUCAACUUCGGCAUUGCCUCUGAUACUGGCAGGCUAGAGUGUAGUUGCGGUAGGCGGAAUGUAUGGUGUAGCGGUGAAAUGCUUAGAGAUCAUACAGAACACCGAUUGCGAAGGCAGCUUACCAAGCUACUACUGACGUUGAGGCACGAAAGCGUGGGGAGCAAACAGGAUUAGAUACCCGAGUAGUC